Molecule: long non-coding RNA, 340 nt
Filed under: Malus domestica (apple)
Lineage: Eukaryota; Viridiplantae; Streptophyta; Magnoliopsida; Rosales; Rosaceae
Description: long non-coding RNA (MDOM_LNC014256)
Source: RNAcentral
GUUCUAGGAUUCAUAUAGCCGACCCCACUAGUGGGAAAAGGCUUUGUUGUUGUUGUUGUUGUUGUUGUUGUAUAUUCUACUUGGAACCUCCAACGUAGAACGUAUAUCUAACAUGCAACCUGUCCGGACGUUCGGAUCAAAUCUGAACAUGAAAGACUCAUUAUGCUUUAUGAAAAUCCUUUGAAAAACCAUGCAAUCCUUAAGACGUGAUAUUCAUCCUAAGUGAAAUUACAAUUAUCAAUCACAAGAAGCCAACAUCAAUUUCAGGGAACCUUCUGACCAAAAUUGCAUCAAAUUACUUUUCUAAAAAUCCUAAUGGUGAUCAGGCAUUAAAACAAUU